Molecule: long non-coding RNA, 515 nt
Filed under: Dromaius novaehollandiae (emu)
Lineage: Eukaryota; Metazoa; Chordata; Aves; Casuariiformes; Dromaiidae
Description: lncRNA (ENSDNVG00000010115.1)
Source: RNAcentral
AAGCACUUCACAAAUACUAUCUGUGAAUUUCUGUAACAUCCCUCUGAAAUAGGAUUGUUUUCUCCUCUUACAGAUGUGGAAAUCUAAAAAUCAGGGAAAGCAACUGACCCAGCUCAUCUAGGCAAGAAGUUUCAGCCCCAGAAUUAAAAUCAUGAGCAAUACCUGGGCUUUAACCACUGUAGAGCACUCUUCUCUGAUAUGUCCUUUGAAAGCGUAAUAGACCUGAGAGCUGCAGACAGACUCCUCAGAAGUAGCCCAUGAGGCCCAAGGAAUCCACAGACCUGGUUUGCAGGGGAUAGGGUUAUCAAACCUGAUUGUUCCCCUUUCUACUGGAGGCCCCUCUGGUGCUAUGGAGAACUGUUUAAGACAUCAACCCAUGACUAAGAAUAGCGGGUGCUCAUUCUUUGAGAAAGAAAGAUUCUUUGACUUUUCUGGUAGGCCAUUUGAGAUAAUCAUUUGUGUAUCCUAACAAAUGCAACACAAUAAAUGUAAAUCAAAUAAAAUCCUUCCCUUCA